UACGAACUGUGCAAACGUUAUUCGGAAUCACUGGGCUUAAAGGGUGCGUAGGCGGCUAUCUAAGCAGGGUGUGAAAGCCCCCGGCUCAACCGGGGAAUUGCGCUCUGAACUGGAUGGCUGGAGUGAGAUAGGGGUGUGUGGAACUUCCAGUGGAGCGGUGAAAUGUGUUGAUAUUGGAAGGAACGCCGGUGGCGAAAGCGACACACUGGGUCUCAACUGACGCUGAGGCACGAAAGCCAGGGGAGCGAACGGG
Molecule: ribosomal RNA, 253 nt
Filed under: uncultured bacterium
Lineage: Bacteria
Description: partial 16S ribosomal RNA
Rfam family: Bacterial small subunit ribosomal RNA
Source: RNAcentral